UACAGAGGGGGCGAGCGUUGUUCGGAAUUACUGGGCGUAAAGGGCUCGUAGGCGGCCAACUAAGUCAGACGUGAAAUCCCUCGGCUUAACCGGGGAACUGCGUCUGAUACUGGAUGGCUUGAGUGUGGGAGAGGGAUGCGGAAUUCCAGGUGUAGCGGUGAAAUGCGUAGAUAUCUGGAGGAACACCGGUGGCGAAGGCGGCAUCCUGGACCACGACUGACGCUGAGGAGCGAAAGCCAGGGGAGCAAACGGG
This 253-nucleotide ribosomal RNA is filed under the name uncultured bacterium. RNAcentral describes it as "partial 16S ribosomal RNA". It matches the Rfam family "Bacterial small subunit ribosomal RNA", at positions 524 to 776 of the family's 1533-position model. The record is from RNAcentral.